RNAcentral lists this ribosomal RNA (1323 nucleotides) under Scolecobasidium constrictum. RNAcentral's name for it is "LSU rRNA". It matches the Rfam family "Eukaryotic large subunit ribosomal RNA", at positions 82 to 1405 of the family's 3401-position model. The record is from RNAcentral. Lineage: Eukaryota; Fungi; Ascomycota; Dothideomycetes; Venturiales; Sympoventuriaceae.
AGUAACGGCGAGUGAAGCGGCAACAGCUCAAAUUUGAAAUCUGGAGUCCUUGGUGGCUUCCGAGUUGUAAUUUGCAGAGGGAGCCUCGGAGGGCUGGUCGGUCCAAGUGCCUUGGAACAGGAUACCGCAGAGGGUGAGAGUCCCGUAUCCGGCCGACGCAGUGCUCCGUGUGAGGCCUCUUCGACGAGUCGAGUUGUUUGGGAAUGCAGCUCUAAGUGGGUGGUAAAUUCCAUCUAAAGCUAAAUACUGGCCAGAGACCGAUAGCGAACAAGUAGAGUGAUCGAAAGAUGAAAAGCACUUUGAAAAGAGAGUUAAACAGUACGUGAAAUUGUUGAAAGGGAAGCGCAUGGGGGCAGACUUGGGCGCGGGGUUCAGGGUCUCUUUUUUGGAGGCGUGUACUUCCCCGCGGACAGGCCAGCAUCGGUUCUGGGGGCCGGACAAAGGCGAUGGGAACGUGGCUCUCUUCGGGGAGUGUUAUAGCCCGACGUGCAAUGCGGCCACCUGGGACCGAGGACCGCGCUUCGGCAAGGAUGCUGGCGUAAUGGCCUCAUGCGGCCCGUCUUGAAACACGGACCAAGGAGUCUAACAUCUAUGCGAGUGUUUGGGUGGCAAGCCCGGACGCGCAAUGAAAGUGAACGGAGGUGGGAGCCCUUUCCGGCGCGGAGGGGGUGCAGCAUCGACCGAUCCGGACGUUUUCUGAAGGAUUUGAGUAAGAGCAUAGCUGUUGGGACCCGAAAGAUGGUGAACUAUGCGUGAAUAGGGUGAAGCCAGAGGAAACUCUGGUGGAGGCUCGCAGCGGUUCUGACGUGCAAAUCGAUCGUCAAAUUUGCGUAUAGGGGCGAAAGACUAAUCGAACCAUCUAGUAGCUGGUUCCUGCCGAAGUUUCCCUCAGGAUAGCAGUAACGCGCGGCAGUUUUAUGAGGUAAAGCGAACGAUUAGGGAGCUAGGGGUUGAAACAACCUUUAUCCAUUCUCGAACUUUAAAUAUGUAAGAAGUCCUUGUUGCUUUGUUGAACGUGGACACUCGAAUGCGGCGUUACUAGUGGGCCAUUUUUGGUAAGCAGAACUGGCGAUGCGGGAUGAACCGAACGUGGGGUUAAGGUGCCGGAAUGCACGCUCAUCAGACACCACAAAAGGUGUUGGUUCAUCCAGACAGCAGGACGGUGGCCAUGGAAGUCGGAAUCCGCUAAGGAGUGUGUAACAACUCACCUGCCGAAUGAACCAGCCCUGAAAAUGGAUGGCGCUCAAGCGUGCUACCCAUACCCCACCGUCUGCGCAAGAGGGUUUGCGUAGACGAGUAGGCAGGCGUGGAGGUUUUGUGACG